Molecule: ribosomal RNA, 209 nt
Filed under: uncultured bacterium
Lineage: Bacteria
Description: partial 16S ribosomal RNA
Rfam family: Bacterial small subunit ribosomal RNA
Source: RNAcentral
UACGAAGGGGGCUAGCGUUGCUCGGAAUCACUGGGCGUAAAGCGCACGUAGGCGGAUCUUUAAGUCAGGGGUGAAAUCCCAAGGCUCAACCUUGGAACUGCCUUUGAUACUGGGGAUCUCGAGUCCGGAAGAGGUUGGUGGAACUGCGAGUGUAGAGGUGAAAUUCGUAGAUAUUCGCAAGAACACCAGUCGGCGAAGGCGGCCAGCGU